RNAcentral lists this ribosomal RNA (402 nucleotides) under Phaeophyceae sp. RNAcentral describes it as "partial small subunit ribosomal RNA". It matches the Rfam family "Eukaryotic small subunit ribosomal RNA", at positions 582 to 975 of the family's 1831-position model. The record is from RNAcentral. Lineage: Eukaryota; Phaeophyceae.
AUUCCAGCUCCAAUAGCGUAUAUUAAAGUUGCUGCAGUUAAAAAGCUCGUAGUUGGAUUUGUGGCGCGGUCGUCCGGCGGGGCUCCUUCAUUGGGGCCGUUUGUCUGGUUUUUCGACCGCACCAUUCUCGGGUAGUGUGUGGCUGGCAUUAGGUUGUCGGCUUCUUCACGCCCGUCGUUUACUGUGAAAAAAUUAGAGUGUUCAAAGCAGGCUUAGGCCGUUGGAUACAUUAGCAUGGAAUAAUGAGAUAGGGCCACGACGGUCUAUUUUGUUGGUUUGCACGUUGUGGUAAUGAUUAACAGGAACGGUUGGGGGUAUUCGUAUUCAAUUGUCAGAGGUGAAAUUCUUGGAUUUAUGGAAGACGAACUACUGCGAAAGCAUUUACCAAGGAUGUUUUCAUUA